Molecule: long non-coding RNA, 866 nt
Organism: Haliotis rubra (blacklip abalone)
Lineage: Eukaryota; Metazoa; Mollusca; Gastropoda; Lepetellida; Haliotidae
Exons: 2
Source: RefSeq, a predicted model, not a curated record
AGUCAUCUGGUUGAUAGUCUGCUGGAUAGUCGUCUGGUUGAUAGUCUGGUUGAUAGUCUGCUGGAUAGUCGUCUGGUUGAUAGUCUGCUGGAUAGUCGUCUGGUUGAUAGUCUGCUGGAUAGUCGUCUGGUUGAUAGUCUGCUGGAUAGUCGUCUGCUGGAUAGUCUCUGCUGGAUAGUCGUCUGGAUGGCGAUUACUCCAACACGUGAUCAGUGUCCUACACAGUGUAAACCUGCAGUGUUUGAGUGACCUGUACAGUUUUUGUACAAAUGUUAUUGUUAAGAUAGUCCAUGUGAUUUUUUAAAAAACAUGACAUGUUUAAAACAAUGCAAUCUCCACUUAUAAUGUGAAACCAUGUAAACCAGUUAAUAAAUUUGUCAAGUAACAACUCAUGAUACUGAAUACUGUAACGUUCUGUACAGCUGUAAUAAUCAGAAAGGUUGAGCUUCUGCGUUUCCUGACAGUGUAUCACUGCCAUAUACAAUGGAUAUUUUCAUACUGAUGUCCACACAUGCAAGUAUUAACUUUGAGUUCAGAACUGUUGAUAUUAGAUGAAAUGUAUUCAAAAGAAUACCCUAGGUCUUUGAUUGAAACAUUUUCCUGACAAAACUUUCUUGAGUCUUUUGUAAACAAUUGUUCUCAGAACUAUUUGCAUUGGUAAGAAAAUCAGUGAUUAGAAAACAUGAAAAUAAAAUGUUAGAAUGUCUUUAUUCACUAGUCAGUAAGUUUAUUAACAGAAUGAUUGGCUAGAUGUACAUCGCAAUGUUGAUGGAACAUUUAAUCUCAGAAUUCAGUGCUAUGAUAAAAUUAUUCAUUAUAAAAAGUGAAGGAAAAUGAGCUGCUUCAAUAAAUAUUGUUUAGAUACA